RNAcentral lists this ribosomal RNA (494 nucleotides) under Pseudomonas sp. 5-23. RNAcentral describes it as "bacterial SSU rRNA". It matches the Rfam family "Bacterial small subunit ribosomal RNA", at positions 82 to 572 of the family's 1533-position model. The record is from RNAcentral. Lineage: Bacteria; Pseudomonadati; Pseudomonadota; Gammaproteobacteria; Pseudomonadales; Pseudomonadaceae.
GCUCCCUGAUUCAGCGGCGGACGGGUGAGUAAUGCCUAGGAAUCUGCCUGGUAGUGGGGGACAACGUUUCGAAAGGAACGCUAAUACCGCAUACGUCCUACGGGAGAAAGCAGGGGACCUUCGGGCCUUGCGCUAUCAGAUGAGCCUAGGUCGGAUUAGCUAGUUGGUGAGGUAAUGGCUCACCAAGGCGACGAUCCGUAACUGGUCUGAGAGGAUGAUCAGUCACACUGGAACUGAGACACGGUCCAGACUCCUACGGGAGGCAGCAGUGGGGAAUAUUGGACAAUGGGCGAAAGCCUGAUCCAGCCAUGCCGCGUGUGUGAAGAAGGUCUUCGGAUUGUAAAGCACUUUAAGUUGGGAGGAAGGGCAGUAAGCUAAUACCUUGCUGUUUUGACGUUACCGACAGAAUAAGCACCGGCUAACUUCGUGCCAGCAGCCGCGGUAAUACGAAGGGUGCAAGCGUUAAUCGGAAUUACUGGGCGUAAAGCGCGCGU